AACGAACGCUGGCGGCAUGCCUAACACAUGCAAGUCGAACGAUGCCUCCGGGCAUAGUGGCGCACGGGUGCGUAACGCGUGGGAAUCUGCCCUUGGGUUCGGAAUAACUCGCCGAAAGGCGAGCUCAUACCGGUUGAUGUCGUAAGUCCAAAGAUUUAUCGCCCAAGGAUGAGCCCGCGUAGGAUUAGCUAGUUGGUGGGGUAAAGGCCCACCAAGGCGACGAUCCUUAGCUGGUCUGAGAGGAUGAUCAGCCACACUGGGACUGAGACACGGCCCAGACUCCUACGGGAGGCAGCAGUGGGGAAUAUUGGACAAUGGGCGAAAGCCUGAUCCAGCAAUGCCGCGUGAGUGAUGAAGGCCUUAGGGUUGUAAAGCUCUUUUACCCGGGAUGAUAAUGACAGUACCGGGAGAAUAAGCACCGGCUAACUCCGUG
This 433-nucleotide ribosomal RNA is filed under the name uncultured bacterium. RNAcentral describes it as "partial 16S ribosomal RNA". It matches the Rfam family "Bacterial small subunit ribosomal RNA", at positions 29 to 507 of the family's 1533-position model. The record is from RNAcentral.